UAUAUAUAUAUAUAAAUAUAUACUACUAAAUAUUAUAAAAAAAAAUAUUUAAUUAUAUCUUUAAUAGUCUAAUAUAAACUGAAUAGAUAUAUAAAUUUAAAUAAUAAAGCUAUUUUCCUUUUGUAUCAGGAUAUAAUUAUAAAAUUUUAAAUAAAUUAUUCCCGAAAUUAUAAGAUCUAAAUUAUUUAUCAAUAUAUAUAUAAAUAUAUUAAUAUAAUAUAAUUUAGAAAUUACACAUUAUUCGAAUAUAAUAAUAUCUGGUUUUUUAUAAAUAAAUAAUAUUUCAUAAUAUAUUAUAUUAUAAUAUAUAAUAUAUAUAUAUAUACAUAUUCACAUAAUUUUUAUAAAAAAUAAUAGUAUUUAUAAAGUUUUAAAACCAUAUAUUAUAUAAAUUUAUACAUUUUUAAUAAAAUUAAUUUACAAUUAAAUAUUAAUAUUAUAAUUAUUAGAUAAUAUAUUUAUACUACUAUAAUUUAUAAAUAUUAAAUGACUGUUUAUCAAAAACAUUUCUAUUAAAAUAAUUAAUAGUAAAAUCUGCUCAAUGAAAAUUUUAAUAGCCGCUAAAUCAGUGCUAAGGUAGCAUAAUCAUUUGUCUUUUAAAUGAAGACUAGUACAAAAGAUAUUACAUUUUAAUUUAUAUCAUUAAUAUAAAAAUUAAAAUUAACAAUAAUGUAAAAAAUCAUUAAAAAUAAAGAUAGACGACAAGACCCUAUUGAACUUAACUUCAGUUUUACUGGGGCAGUAAAAUAAUUAAUAUUUUAAUUUAAAUCUUUGAGAUAAAAAUCUAUAAUAUAUAAUAAUUCAGUUACCAUAGGGAUAACAGCGUAAUAAAAUUUUAAAGCUCUUAUAAAAAAUUUAGUUUACGACCUCGAUGUUGAAUUAAUAACCUCUUUAAAGCAAAAUUUAAUCUUAGAGGAAGUCUGUUCGACUUUUUAAAAAUUACAUGAUUUGAGUUCAGACCGGUAUAAGCCAGGUCGGUUUCAAUCUUCUAAAAAUCUUUUUACAGUACGAAAGGACCUAAAAAAUUAAUAAUAUU
This 1036-nucleotide ribosomal RNA is filed under the name Phintella cavaleriei. RNAcentral describes it as "16S ribosomal RNA". Lineage: Eukaryota; Metazoa; Arthropoda; Arachnida; Araneae; Salticidae. The record is from RNAcentral.